CAGUAGCCACGGUAAUACGUAGGUGGCAAGCGUUGUCCGGAAUUAUUGGGCGUAAAGAGCUCGCAGGCGGUUUCUUAAGUCUGAUGUGAAAGCCCCCGGCUCAACCGGGGAGGGUCAUUGGAAACUGGGAAACUUGAGUGCAGAAGAGGAGAGUGGAAUUCCACGUGUAGCGGUGAAAUGCGUAGAGAUGUGGAGGAACACCGGUGGCGGAGGCGACUCUCUGGUCUGUAACUGACGCUGAGGAGCGAAAGCGUGGGGAGCGAACAGGAUUAGAUACCCGCGUAGUCCCUGUCUCUUAUAA
Molecule: ribosomal RNA, 301 nt
Filed under: uncultured bacterium
Lineage: Bacteria
Description: partial 16S ribosomal RNA
Rfam family: Bacterial small subunit ribosomal RNA
Source: RNAcentral